GCGCCCGUAGCUCAGUUGGAUAGAGCGCCUGCCUCCGGAGCAGGAGGUCGCAGGUUCGAAUCCUGCCGGGCGCGCCA
RNAcentral lists this transfer RNA (77 nucleotides) under Gemmatimonadota bacterium. RNAcentral describes it as "Gemmatimonadetes bacterium (marine metagenome) tRNA-Arg". It matches the Rfam family "tRNA". From Rfam's summary of the family: Transfer RNA (tRNA) molecules are approximately 80 nucleotides in length. Their secondary structure includes four short double-helical elements and three loops (D, anti-codon, and T loops). The record is from RNAcentral. Lineage: Bacteria; Pseudomonadati; Gemmatimonadota.